This 253-nucleotide ribosomal RNA is filed under the name uncultured bacterium. RNAcentral describes it as "partial 16S ribosomal RNA". It matches the Rfam family "Bacterial small subunit ribosomal RNA", at positions 524 to 776 of the family's 1533-position model. The record is from RNAcentral.
UACGGGGGGGGCAAGCGUUGUUCGGAAUUACUGGGCGUAAAGGGCUCGUAGGCGGCCCGCUAAGUCGAACGUGAAAUCCCCAGGCUCAACCUGGGAACUGCGUCCGAUACUGGCAGGCUUGAAUCCGGGAGAGGGAUGUGGAAUUCCAGGUGUAGCGGUGAAAUGCGUAGAUAUCUGGAGGAAUACCGGUGGCGAAAGCGACUCUCUGGACGGCAACUGACGCUGAGGCACGAAAGCGUGGGGAGCAAACAGG